RNAcentral lists this transfer RNA (73 nucleotides) under Canis lupus familiaris (dog). It matches the Rfam family "tRNA". Rfam says of the family: Transfer RNA (tRNA) molecules are approximately 80 nucleotides in length. Their secondary structure includes four short double-helical elements and three loops (D, anti-codon, and T loops). Lineage: Eukaryota; Metazoa; Chordata; Mammalia; Carnivora; Canidae. The record is from Rfam by way of RNAcentral. RNAcentral also lists the same sequence under 1 other name.
GCCUGGUUGGCUCAGUUGGUAGAACGUGUGACUCUUAAUCUCACAGUUGUGAGUUUGAACCCCACGUUGGGUG